Molecule: ribosomal RNA, 468 nt
Filed under: uncultured bacterium
Lineage: Bacteria
Description: partial 16S ribosomal RNA
Rfam family: Bacterial small subunit ribosomal RNA
Source: RNAcentral
GACGAACGCUGGCGGCGUGCUUAACACAUGCAAGUCGAACGGAAAGGCCCUGCUUUUGUGGGGUGCUCGAGUGGCGAACGGGUGAGUAACACGUGAGUAACCUGCCCUUGACUUUGGGAUAACUUCAGGAAACUGGGGCUAAUACCGGAUAGGAGCUCCUGCUGCAUGGUGGGGGUUGGAAAGUUUCGGCGGUUGGGGAUGGACUCGCGGCUUAUCAGCUUGUUGGUGGGGUAGUGGCUUACCAAGGCUUUGACGGGUAGCCGGCCUGAGAGGGUGACCGGCCACAUUGGGACUGAGGUACGGCCCAGACUCCUACGGGAGGCAGCAGGGGGGAAUAUUGCACAAUGGGCGGAAGCCUGAUGCAGCAACGCCGCGUUCGGGAUGACGGCCUUCGGGUUGUAAACCGCUUUCGCCUGUGACGAAGCGUGAGUGACGGUAAUGGGUAAAGAAGCACCGGCUAACUACGUG